GACGAACGCUGGCGGCGUGCCUAAUACAUGCAAGUAGAACGCUGAAGAGAGGAGCUUGCUCUUCUUGGAUGAGUUGCGAACGGGUGAGUAACGCGUAGGUAACCUGCCUGGUAGCGGGGGAUAACUAUUGGAAACGAUAGCUAAUACCGCAUAAAAUUGAUUAUUGCAUGAUAAUUAAUUGAAAGAUGCAAUUGCAUCACUACCAGAUGGACCUGCGUUGUAUUAGCUAGUUGGUGAGGUAACGGCUCACCAAGGCGACGAUACAUAGCCGACCUGAGAGGGUGAUCGGCCACACUGGGACUGAGACACGGCCCAGACUCCUACGGGAGGCAGCAGUAGGGAAUCUUCGGCAAUGGGGGGAACCCUGACCGAGCAACGCCGCGUGAGUGAAGAAGGUUUUCGGAUCGUAAAGCUCUGUUGUAAGAGAAGAACGGGUGUGAGAGUGGAAAGUUCACACUGUGACGGUAUCUUACCAGAAAGGGACGGCUAACUACGUGCCAGCAGCCGCGGUAAUACGUAGGUCCCGAGCGUUGUCCGGAUUUAUUGGGCGUAAAGCGAGCGCAGGCGGUUAGAUAAGUCUGAAGUUAAAGGCUGUGGCUUAACCAUAGUAUGCUUUGGAAACUGUUUAACUUGAGUGCAGAAGGGGAGAGUGGAAUUCCAUGUGUAGCGGUGAAAUGCGUAGAUAUAUGGAGGAACACCGGUGGCGAAAGCGGCUCUCUGGUCUGUAACUGACGCUGAGGCUCGAAAGCGUGGGGAGCAAACAGGAUUAGAUACCCUGGUAGUCCACGCCGUAAACGAUGAGUGCUAGGUGUUAGGCCCUUUCCGGGGCUUAGUGCCGCAGCUAACGCAUUAAGCACUCCGCCUGGGGAGUACGACCGCAAGGUUGAAACUCAAAGGAAUUGACGGGGGCCCGCACAAGCGGUGGAGCAUGUGGUUUAAUUCGAAGCAACGCGAAGAACCUUACCAGGUCUUGACAUCCCUCUGACCGCUCUAGAGAUAGAGUUUUCCUUCGGGACAGAGGUGACAGGUGGUGCAUGGUUGUCGUCAGCUCGUGUCGUGAGAUGUUGGGUUAAGUCCCGCAACGAGCGCGACCCCUAUUGUUAGUUGCCAUCAUUCAGUUGGGCACUCUAGCGAGACUGCCGGUAAUAAACCGGAGGAAGGUGGGGAUGACGUCAAAUCAUCAUGCCCCUUAUGACCUGGGCUACACACGUGCUACAAUGGCUGGUACAACGAGUCGCAAGCCGGUGACGGCAAGCUAAUCUCUGAAAGCCAGUCUCAGUUCGGAUUGUAGGCUGCAACUCGCCUACAUGAAGUCGGAAUCGCUAGUAAUCGCGGAUCAGCACGCCGCGGUGAAUACGUUCCCGGGCCUUGUACACACCGCCCGUCACACCACGAGAGUUUGUAACACCCGAAGUCGGUGAGGUAACCGUAAGGAGCCAGCCGCCUAAGGUGGGAUAGAUGAUUGGGGUG
This 1470-nucleotide ribosomal RNA is filed under the name Streptococcus sanguinis. RNAcentral describes it as "bacterial SSU rRNA". It matches the Rfam family "Bacterial small subunit ribosomal RNA". Lineage: Bacteria; Bacillati; Bacillota; Bacilli; Lactobacillales; Streptococcaceae. The record is from RNAcentral.